AGGCGUCUCCCUCUCUGCCCCCGCCCAGGCCUAGCCACUCCGGUCCCCGAUUUCGUUUUCUCGCAUGCAUGCCAACGCGUUUUUCUAUAUGUGGGGUUCCCCCAAACCCCCACCCAGCGACUACAAAACAGCAUUCCCGGCAUCUCCGAAGGACAAAAAAAUGGCUGUUGAUAAAUCUAUUAGAAGAGUUGCAGAAAGAGAUAAAGUCAGCAUUUAGAAAAAAACCAGGAAACCUGUUAAAAAAAAAAAGCCAUAACCCGCUGCUUGGCGUUGCUUAACGGUUUAGCAUAUGAAAAAGUCGGAAAGGAGACGCUGGGAAAGAAGCCGGUAGUGGCCGCGGCCUGGGCUGGCCGCAGACACUCUGCAAAAUGUAACUUGGUGGAAAGCGGCGGCGAGGACGUGGCCGGGGCACGCAGCAAAGAGUUUCCCAGGAAGAGGAGCCAGUGACGGCGCUGCGACACACAAAUUAACUUCCAUCUCCGUGACACAGUUUCCCCGGAUAUAAAGGCAGCCCAUUGGAUCUCUGCUUGGCAGCUUUUUUCUGCUGGGGAGUCUGAGGGGGGACAUUGGCUCCAUCCUGAGAUGCGCCUCUUGCCUGCGUGAGAUCUACAGGGCGUGUACCUGACCCUAAAAUGAAAUCUGAGUUGAUUUGCACAGCUGCAUCAUUUUGUGGCCCACAGGCUCCGAAGUGUUUGCAAAGCUGUCUAGACAGCCUGCCACGACCGCGCCGCAAGCUAGCAAUCCACCUGCCCGGACUGCAGAAGGUUGCUUGUCGCUAGGCUCCAGCAGACCCGCGGGAAGGAAGGUCGGGAGGACCCGCAGCCAUCAAGGGCGACUUGGUAAACUCAUUUGACUCCACCUGAACCGUCUAGCCCUAGAGGCAGGCACCUAGUGCAGCGCGGGGCUCCACUGCGGCCUCCUCCUGCAUGGCUGGGCCUGCGUGGACGCGUGCGUGGGUCUGCACCCGGGCAGAUGGCGGCUCUUCUCCAGGCGCCGCCCCCCUCCAACAAACUUCGAAUUUCACCGCCCGCUGACUCUGGCUCGGGGCCCCCCUCCGUGCCGCCGAUCUCUGCCAUCCGCCCGCCCCUCGCCAGGCCUCGCCCGAACCAUCCAUUCCCGGGUGUCUCCUUGGAACCUCCCUGGGGAAGGGGGCUGAACAACUCCCAGCUGCCAGUUCCAUUUGUUGCGC
Long non-coding RNA from Ochotona princeps (American pika), 1189 nucleotides. RefSeq lists it as uncharacterized. The transcript has 3 exons. The record is from RefSeq and is a predicted model, not a curated record. Lineage: Eukaryota; Metazoa; Chordata; Mammalia; Lagomorpha; Ochotonidae.